AGAUUAUCACCAUGAGGUGUAUAAAAUCUCAGAAUUCAGCAACGAUGUUAAUGGGGAGACCAAAGAGACACAACCCAUGUUCUUAGGAAGAAGAAGGGUGCAAAGGGCAGGCAGAAGUCACACUUACAGAGGAGAAACAGACAAGCCCUUCCGACCAGAAUGAAUGCCAUAGGCACUUGGGUCUUUCCAGUAAGGCAGGGAACAGACCCAAGACCAGCACCAUUCCCAGCACCUACUGACUAUUAUGAACACUGAACACUAAAGUCAAGUGAGAUGCUAUGGCCCAGAAAGACCCCUCUCAGAUGAGACUCCUUUCCGUGCUCCGACCUGGGAGACGGAAGCAUGGAAAUUAAGAAACAAAUUACGGGGAUGAGAAGAUUACUGAAUGACCGUACCGGGAGGAUCUAUCAACGCGUCGGCAAAGAAGGGGAAAAAC
RNAcentral lists this long non-coding RNA (436 nucleotides) under Rattus norvegicus (Norway rat). RNAcentral's name for it is "long non-coding RNA NONRATT013119". The record is from RNAcentral. Lineage: Eukaryota; Metazoa; Chordata; Mammalia; Rodentia; Muridae.